GAAGAGGAGGACUUCAUUUUUCAAAUAAUCUGAAUGGCCAGGUCCUGUUACAACACUCAAAAGCUCAUACGGGAGUGGUUUCUCUCAGUCUGACAGUUUGUUUUUCCUCAUCUUUAAAGUUACUAUAACAUAAUUACAGCUAUGCCUUGGCCAUACCUGUGGGACCUGCCUCAAAGUCUUAAUUUCUAAGGUGGCUUCCAUGAAGGAACAGAAGAAAAUCUUGAUGUUUUCAUGCAGCAGCAGCAGUGUGGAGCCUCAGAAGAAAACAGAAGACAGAAGCCUGGGGGGGAUAGCAAGGGGUGCGGGGAGGAGGCUCUGGUCAGAAGCCUUGGUUUUGUGGCAAAUUGACUUAUUUUCUAUCAUGUCUCUAAAAUGUCUUUCUCAUCUUUG
This 390-nucleotide long non-coding RNA is filed under the name Cavia porcellus (domestic guinea pig). RNAcentral describes it as "lncRNA (ENSCPOG00000035497.1)". The record is from RNAcentral. Lineage: Eukaryota; Metazoa; Chordata; Mammalia; Rodentia; Caviidae.